This 328-nucleotide RNase P RNA is filed under the name Clostridia bacterium. RNAcentral's name for it is "RNase P RNA component class A". It matches the Rfam family "Bacterial RNase P class A". From Rfam's summary of the family: Ribonuclease P (RNase P) is a ubiquitous endoribonuclease, found in archaea, bacteria and eukarya as well as chloroplasts and mitochondria. Its best characterised activity is the generation of mature 5'-ends of tRNAs by cleaving the 5'-leader elements of precursor-tRNAs. Cellular RNase Ps are ribonucleoproteins. Lineage: Bacteria; Bacillati; Bacillota; Clostridia. The record is from RNAcentral.
CAAGAUAACCAGACGGUUGCGUGCAAAGCACGAGGAAAGUCCGAACACCACAGGACAGGAUGCCGGCUAACUACCGGUGAAGGCGACUUUAAGGAAAGUGCAACAGAAAUAAACCGCCAAAGCAUUACGCAGGCAAGGUUGGAAAGGCGGGGUAAGAGCCCACCGCACGCUCGGCAACGAGAGUGGCAAUGUAAACCCCAUCCGGUGCAAGAUGUGAGGGAAAUCGGUCGUCCGCCGUCCCUCCUAUAUCGCUCGAUUGUAUUGGCAACAAUGCAACUAGACAGAUAACCGUCAAAUACAGAAUUCGGCUUACAGAUUAUCUUGCUUU